CCGGGAUAGCUCCGCUGGUAGAGCAGAGGACU
Molecule: transfer RNA, 32 nt
Filed under: Porana volubilis
Lineage: Eukaryota; Viridiplantae; Streptophyta; Magnoliopsida; Solanales; Convolvulaceae
Description: partial tRNA-Phe
Source: RNAcentral